UGAAGGAGGAGUUGAUGGCAAUGUGGAUGGAGGGGGAACAUCAGAAGAAGGAGGCUUAGGAGGAGAUUGAGAAACUGGUGGAGGGGGUGCAUGUGAAGGAGUAGUUUUUGGAGGACUUUCUUUCUGUGGAGGAGUACCGGUGGAUGGUGGCCUUGGAACAUUUGCUGGAGGAGGAGGAGAUUGUGAAAUUGGUUGAGAAGGAGGGGAAAUUGUAGCGGGAGGAGAUUGGGGAGGGGGGGGAACAGUUGGUGAAGCUGGUGGAGACGAAACUGGAGGGGAAGGUGGAAGCUCAGCUGGAGGAGGAGCAGUGGUGGUGGCUGGUGGUGGGGGGGAAGAUGUUACAACUGGUGGCGUUGGAGAUGCUGGUGGUAAUGGUGG
This 378-nucleotide long non-coding RNA is filed under the name Phaseolus vulgaris (common bean). RNAcentral's name for it is "long non-coding RNA (PVUL_LNC001382)". Lineage: Eukaryota; Viridiplantae; Streptophyta; Magnoliopsida; Fabales; Fabaceae. The record is from RNAcentral.